UGAGGAAUAUUGGUCAAUGGGCGGCAGCCUGAACCAGCCAUCCCGCGUGAAGGAAGAAUGCGCUAUGCGUUGUAAACUUCUUUUUCAGGGGGAUAAAAUUCUGUAUGUAUACAGGACUGAAGGUACCCUGAGAAUAAGCAUCGGCUAACUCCGUGCCAGCAGCCGCGGUAAUACGGAGGAUGCGAGCGUUAUCCGGAUUUAUUGGGUUUAAAGGGUGCGUAGGCGAAAUAAUAAGUCAGUGGUGAAACCCUGCAGCUUAACUGUAGACUUGCCAUUGAUACUGUUUUUCUUGAGUAUGGUCAAGGCAGGCGGAAUGUGUAAUGUAGCGGUGAAAUGCUUAGAUAUUACACAGAACACCGAUAGCGAAGGCAGCUUGCUGGGCCGUUACUGACGCUGAUGCACGAAAGCGUGGGGAUCGAACAG
RNAcentral lists this ribosomal RNA (423 nucleotides) under uncultured bacterium. Its description in RNAcentral is "bacterial SSU rRNA". It matches the Rfam family "Bacterial small subunit ribosomal RNA", at positions 355 to 775 of the family's 1533-position model. The record is from RNAcentral.